This is a non-coding RNA of Cyanistes caeruleus (blue tit), 951 nucleotides long. NCBI's taxonomy places the organism in Eukaryota, Metazoa, Chordata, Aves, Passeriformes, Paridae. The record is from RefSeq and is a predicted model, not a curated record.
CCUUUUAGACUGGAGCUAAGACCCCCCCAAUGUGGCACUGGCGUCUCCGGGGCUGGGGGGGGUGCGUGGCUGGGGGAUUCCCCAAGUGUGGGGGAGGGAUCGUCCCAUUAUGGGGCUGAGACCCUUCAGUGUGGGGCUGGGAAGUGGAGCCAGGAGUGGGAAUUGGACCCCCAGGAUCGGGUUUUGGGGCUGAUCGGCGUGGGAGCUGGGAGGCCUAGGAAUGUGGAUGGGACCCGCUCGGGAUCGGGAUUCAAGACUGGGACCCCUCAGUAUGGGGCUGGGAUCCUCUAGUGUGGGGCUGGGUCCCCAGGCGGUGGGGUUGGGAUGCCCCGGGGAUCAAAAUGUGGGGCUGGGGGCCUCCCGGGAUCGGGGUGUGGGACAGGGGCUCCCCCGGAUGUGGGGCUGCGACUUCCCAAUGGGGUUGGAGCCCCUCAAUUUCCCCCCGAUAGGGACUGGGUACCACCGUGGUGGCACUGGGGACUCUCAGGGAUCAGGGUGCAGGGUUGGGACCUCCUAUUGUGGCACUGAGGACACCCGGGCUGGGGGUGCCUACUGGCGCCAGCGGAGCCAUCCCUGUCCCCAUCCCAGUGGCAUUGAGCCCGGCGGCGCCUGGCACCGGCCGUGUCACCCGCGCGCUGGCCGGUGCCACUGUGUCCCCGCGGGGGUUGGGGACAUGGAGGGCGGGUAGGGGCAUGCGUGGGGGACCCCGAUUGCAUCAGUGGUGACCCCCCCAUCUCCCACAGGUGGCCCCGGUGUUCCGAGGCGAUGGCCGACGACCGAGAUGUUCGAUUUGUCACUGAGGAGAGCUUCGACUUUGGCUUGCUGUCCCCAUCGGACAGCCAGGAGGAAGAGGAGGAUGAGGAUAGCCCGGGCGGCGGGUGCCGGCACAAGGGCGGCAACGGGCGCUGGAGUCCCCUGCACGGGGCCCGUCUGGAAGAGAUGGUGCGGGAG